AACCUUAUGGACCUGCGGGCGUAUACCUGCGGAGGGAUCAUCAUUAAAUCCAUUUCUAAACACCCUGUGAACUGUGCGGGGGGAUGCGGAGAGGAGGGAUGCCGCGGCGGUAUGCUGCAGGCGUUUCUCUCCGCCGCGUUCUCCUGCGUGUGCUGUGUGAUUUCGAGCGUAUGCGUGUCUCUCCUGCCUGGGGGGGGCAUGCUGCGGUCGUAUUACCACAACAAACUCUAUGUAUGAAAU
Molecule: unclassified non-coding RNA, 240 nt
Filed under: soil metagenome
Description: partial contains 5.8S ribosomal RNA, internal transcribed spacer 2, and large subunit ribosomal RNA
Source: RNAcentral